CUUCCAGCUUUGCUGUAUAACCUGCCAAUGUUAUCAAAUCAAAAAUCAGUAUCACAAAUUGUUUCAUAUAAAGUGCAGAGAUUCAUCGUUCAGAAAUAGAAUUUUCUACAAGUCAAAAUGUGGGAUUACAAGUGGAUAUCAAAUAAUUGGGCAUACAGUAGAUUAAAUGGUUCAGAUGUAAAAGCAUGAUUUAAUUUUAAUGCUUAAAAUUACAAUCUAAAAAACUAUCCAAAAAGGUCCUAUGAAUACGAUUAUAGUUUCAGUAUCCUGUGAUCCAGAUAAAAAGUUCUUCAAGUCAUUUGCACUUCCCAGUAAUCGAAUCCUUGAAAAGCUUUUACUAACUGUACAAAACAAUUAACUGAAGAUUGUGUCUGGUAAUGCUUCAAUUGCAAAGUGAUUGACAAAUUAUUAGUUAGGACUGGCAAAAUGAGCUGGGAGUCCAGUCAGAUGACUAACCAAUAGAAAAAAGGCUGGCUGACUAAUUGUCAGUGCGCAGUGUAUAGGCAAUCUUGGGCAAAAACAUCACCCGCCUUUUGCAUUUGUUAACUUUUGUGCAAAUUGUUUGUAAGGAUACCCACAAAAAUCCAACACAUUGCUUGUAACUUAAUUUCUUUAUCUUUUGAAAGACCAAAAGUUAAGGAAAUUUAUUAGUACAGUAUUAGUUUGGCAUAGUUUCAUCUUUUACCUGGUUUUUCUUCUUUCCAUUCAGUGUAUGUGAUCCAGAUAACCAGAUGAUGAAAAUUAUGUUAAAUUAAAGAUUAAUUUACUCUUCAGCCAUGUAUCUUUAGCCAUGUAUAGAAGAAAAGAAGAGAAAGAGAACAAGCUGACCUCAUUU
RNAcentral lists this unclassified non-coding RNA (835 nucleotides) under Hevea brasiliensis (rubber tree). Lineage: Eukaryota; Viridiplantae; Streptophyta; Magnoliopsida; Malpighiales; Euphorbiaceae. The record is from RNAcentral.